UUUCCGUAGGUGAACCUGCGGAAGGAUCAUUAAAAAUGAGGCCGGGAAACCGGUCCUUCUCACCCUUGAUUAUCUCAAAUUGUUGCUUUGGUGGGCCGCGCAAGCACCGGCUUCGGCUGGAUCGUGCCCGCCAGAGGACCACAACUCUGUAUUAUAUGUCGUCUGAGUACUAUAAAAUAGUUAAAACUUUCAACAACGGAUCUCUCGGUUCUG
This 213-nucleotide unclassified non-coding RNA is filed under the name plant metagenome. RNAcentral's name for it is "partial contains small subunit ribosomal RNA, internal transcribed spacer 1, and 5.8S ribosomal RNA". The record is from RNAcentral.